GUUUNUAGAAUUCCCAUGGAAUAAAAAGGGUAGACCAUAACGUUGAAGUAUUAUUCAAUAAGAACUCACUGGAUAAGCUGAUCUUGACAUAAAGCAAAGAGCGCCAAGCCACUAUCAAUUAGACAUAGUUCACUUUUUGCCUUAAAGCCAUGGAUUCUAGCUUGCAAGCAGCCACUUCUUGAACAUCAAGAGGAUCUAUACUCUUGCUUAUUCCAAACGCUAGAUGAAGUGUGAAGUGCUCUAGAAAAGAGAGAAGUUCAGCUUUUAACUACUUGGAGAUCAGUUGUUGAAAUUCCAGCUGGGACGGAAAACUACUAGGCGCCUUCUCCUCAUCUGUCUUGAGCCUUGAAGGGCUGAGUUCUUCAGUACAUGUACUGGCGGGAGAUAGCCUGUGGAAUACUCGAGCUAUCAAGAUGCACAAGCUGGCCUGAACACCAUCAUUAUCAAGAUAAUUGGAAAAUGAGAAGAAUAAGGUGCUUGAAACCACAAGAGGCUAUAGAGAAUUAGACUAGCAACAAUGCUGGAGGUAAAUUGGAUUAUUUAUACUUGGAAACGACAAUCUAAGCAUAGGUCCUCAUUAAUGUGAGCUGUAUAGUGGACUAUUUGUUGGUCAUCCCACGCGAGAAUUUGUCGAAGUGGACUGUUGUAGCCAUAUCUUUGUGUAGUGGUCGAUUGGUUGAAGGAUUAUGAACUAAGAAUGGAGCAUGGUUAGGCAAAAUGUACUGUCUUGUUGUACCUCAAAAUUUUGUAGAGUAGG
Solanum pennellii is the source of this 757-nucleotide long non-coding RNA. RefSeq lists it as uncharacterized. Lineage: Eukaryota; Viridiplantae; Streptophyta; Magnoliopsida; Solanales; Solanaceae. The transcript has 3 exons. The record is from RefSeq and is a predicted model, not a curated record.